This is a non-coding RNA of Phrynosoma platyrhinos (Desert horned lizard), 72 nucleotides long. The record is from the annotation of a GenBank genome assembly. Lineage: Eukaryota; Metazoa; Chordata; Lepidosauria; Squamata; Phrynosomatidae.
GUGUGUUGGUGUAGUGGUUUGGGCAUUGGACUGGGAAUCUGAGAGACCAGGGUUCAAAUCCCUGUUCAGCCA